GGGGCAUUUGGGUCCUCCCUCCUUGGUCUUCCAGUUGUUGUAGCAAGGGCACACAGCUUUAUUCCCAUAAUACCCUGGAGGCACACACAGGCACUUUCUGCAGCAUUUCUGACAGAAGAACAUGCAAGGCUUGUGGUAUUGGGUCUUGCUGCACCUCCUCGAGCAUUGUGAUGGGCAUUGGUAGCUCUUGAGACUCCCUGGCCCAUAGCGCUUUUGAUUGUCAUAGUGGUGACCUCCAUGACCAUGCGAUGCCAUAACCAGGGGUUUGGAGCAUUGAACUGGCAAUGAGGGCCAAGAGGAAGACAGCAAAAAACUUAGCCAUAGCCUUUGCCACAAUGCAAAUAGAAGAGGAAGCGGUGAAGGUGAG
RNAcentral lists this unclassified non-coding RNA (367 nucleotides) under Hevea brasiliensis (rubber tree). The record is from RNAcentral. Lineage: Eukaryota; Viridiplantae; Streptophyta; Magnoliopsida; Malpighiales; Euphorbiaceae.